Molecule: transfer RNA, 74 nt
Filed under: Lignipirellula cremea
Lineage: Bacteria; Pseudomonadati; Planctomycetota; Planctomycetia; Pirellulales; Pirellulaceae
Description: Planctomycetes bacterium Pla85_3_4 tRNA-Lys
Rfam family: tRNA
About the family: Transfer RNA (tRNA) molecules are approximately 80 nucleotides in length.
Source: RNAcentral
UCGUGGUUAGCUCAUUUGGCAGAGCAUCAGACAUUUAAUCUGAAUGUAGGAGGUUCGAACCCUUCACCACCCGC